AUUGAACGCUGGCGGAAUGCUUUACACAUGCAAGUCGAACGGUAGAGGGGGCAACCCCUCGAGAGUGGCGAACGGGUGAGUAAUAUAUCGGAACGUGCCCAGUCGUGGGGGAUAACGUAGCGAAAGGUACGCUAAUACCGCAUACGAUCUAAGGAUGAAAGCGGGGGAUCGCAAGACCUCGCCCGAUUGGAGCGGCAGAUAUCGGAUUAGGUAGUUGGGGGGGUAAAGGCUCACCAAGCCAACGAUCUGGAGCUGGUCUGAGAGGACGACCAGCCACACUGGAACUGAGACGCGGUCCAGACUCCUACGGGAGGCAGCAGUGGGGAAUUUUGGACAAUGGACGCAAGUCUGAUCCAGCCAUUCCGCGUGCAGGAUGAAGGCCCUCGGGUUGUAAACUGCUUUUGUACGGAACGAAAAGGUCUCUCUUAAUACGGGGGGCUCAUGACGGUACCGUAAGAAUAAGCACCGGCUAACUACGUGCCAGCCGCCGCGGUAA
This 496-nucleotide ribosomal RNA is filed under the name uncultured bacterium. RNAcentral's name for it is "partial 16S ribosomal RNA". It matches the Rfam family "Bacterial small subunit ribosomal RNA", at positions 30 to 523 of the family's 1533-position model. The record is from RNAcentral.